UACGGAGGGUGCAAGCGUUAUCCGGAUUCACUGGGUUUAAAGGGUGCGUAGGCGGAUAUGUAAGUCCGUGGUGAAAUCUCUGGGCUUAACCCGGAAACUGCCAUGGAUACUAUGUGUCUUGAAUGUUGUUGAGGUGAGCGGAAUAUGUCAUGUAGCGGUGAAAUGCUUAGAUAUGACAUAGAACACCAAUUGCAAAGGCAGCUCACUAAGCAAAUAUUGACGCUGAGGCACGAAAGCGUGGGGAUCAAACAGG
Molecule: ribosomal RNA, 253 nt
Filed under: uncultured bacterium
Lineage: Bacteria
Description: partial 16S ribosomal RNA
Rfam family: Bacterial small subunit ribosomal RNA
Source: RNAcentral